UACCAGUGAGGAAAGGAAACACGUCUUAACCCCAGUCCUGGCCCCGGAGCCAGCAAUGGUGAACCCACUGGGGCUAGCUGGGGGAGAGGAGGAUGGCCUGUUCCGAAGGAACUGUCUGAGGUAC
Molecule: small nucleolar RNA, 124 nt
Filed under: Phascolarctos cinereus (koala)
Lineage: Eukaryota; Metazoa; Chordata; Mammalia; Diprotodontia; Phascolarctidae
Description: Small nucleolar RNA SNORD22 (ENSPCIG00000018712.2)
Rfam family: Small nucleolar RNA SNORD22
About the family: U22 is a member of the C/D class of snoRNA which contain the C (UGAUGA) and D (CUGA) box motifs. U22 is encoded within the U22 snoRNA host gene (UHG) in mammals and has also been identified in Xenopus. U22 is thought to as a 2'-O-ribose methylation guide for ribosomal RNA.
Source: Rfam by way of RNAcentral